UACGUAGGUGGCGAGCGUUAUCCGGAAUGAUUGGGCGUAAAGAGCGCGCAGGUGGUUAAUUAAGUCUGAUGUGAAAGCCCACGGCUUAACCGUGGAGGGUCAUUGGAAACUGGUUGACUUGAGUGCAGAAGAGGGAAGUGGAAUUCCAUGUGUAGCGGUGAAAUGCGUAGAGAUAUGGAGGAACACCAGUGGCGAAGGCGGCUUCCUGGUCUGCAACUGACACUGAGGCACGAAAGCGUGGGGAGCAAACAGG
Molecule: ribosomal RNA, 253 nt
Filed under: uncultured bacterium
Lineage: Bacteria
Description: partial 16S ribosomal RNA
Rfam family: Bacterial small subunit ribosomal RNA
Source: RNAcentral